GUAGGGAAUAUUGGGCAAUGGUCGGAAGACUGACCCAGCCAUGCCGCGUGCAGGAAGACGGCCCUCUGGGUUGUAAACUGCUUUUAUCUGGGAAGAAAAAGGCCAUGCGUGGCAAAUUGCCGGUACCAGAUGAAUAAGCACCGGCUAACUCCGUGCCAGCAGCCGCGGUAAUACGGAGGGUGCGAGCGUUGUCCGGAUUUAUUGGGUUUAAAGGGUGCGUAGGCGGCUGAUUAAGUCAGCGGUGAAAGACUUCGGCUUAACCGGAGCAGUGCCGUUGAUACUGGUUGGCUUGAGUGUCGGAGGUGUACAUGGAAUUGAUGGUGUAGCGGUGAAAUGCAUAGAUACCAUCAGGAACACCGAUAGCGAAGGCAUUGUACUGGCCGACAACUGACGCUGAUGCACGAAAGUGUGGGGAUCGAACAGGAUUAGAAACCCGGGUAGUCC
This 444-nucleotide ribosomal RNA is filed under the name uncultured bacterium. RNAcentral's name for it is "partial 16S ribosomal RNA". It matches the Rfam family "Bacterial small subunit ribosomal RNA", at positions 354 to 796 of the family's 1533-position model. The record is from RNAcentral.